CGAUUAAUUUUGUCGCCGGACCAAUAUUGACUCAACGCAGAAACUUAAAAUUCAAAGUCCUUCCAAGAGAAAUAAACAAAAGUAAAAUCUGUUCGAAAAGUGGACACUGAUCAAUUAGGUGACGGCCGCAAGCAUCUUUCGAAAGUGUGAUUCGAAAACAGUCGCAGCAGCGAGUCGCUUGUGUGAUACCGUCAUUAAAUAAUGGAUUCGCGCGAGAGAAUCUCGUUAGCUUCUUCAGCCGACGAAGAUUCUCCGUCUCCAUUCGAAAGAAACGCGCUCAAAAGUUGGAUUAAAACGGUUGAAUCUUCUCCUUCCUCUAUAACUCGAGGUAAAGAUAUUAAUAUGAAGUGCGAGUAAAAAUAAAAACGUUGGUGCAAUGAAUUUUUUUCUAUAACAACACUGUACUACUUUGCUGCUUCGACGUCCAAGGGAAAACCUUUUAUCGGUGCAAGUUCGAUAACUUGAAGUUUACAAGUUUGUUUGGGGCCGUGUACUUAUUAUAAUUACGUGUUCGGAUGUGUUUGUCCGUUGCACAAAUUUUUGCAGGAUCGCUGAUGCGAUCUAAUGCAAUUUUAUUAGGUUUUGUGUUACACUGGAUUUUCGAUUCCACUUUUACAUUUCGGAAUGGUCGCCUUGUCCCCGCGUUCACCCGCGUUACAUUAGAGCUAGGAACAGGUAUCAAUUAAUUAACAAUAAAUUCACUAACAAUAAGUGCAAGUUUAGUUACAAUCAAGUGCGUACGUAUUUUUCUGUGCCAUGCAAUAUUUAUACAAUGGAAAAAGCGUCGAGCCAAGUGCACUCAGUCGGGGAGAGAAUAUUUCAAAGGUGACCAUCUUCCAGAUCAAAUAAUUAAAUUUGUGAUCUUGCAACAUCUUUCAACGUCACAAUUCCGGCGAAACUAGCUCCAAGAUUGUUUGAAGUUUUAAUUUGGUAUCCCAAUAAGAAUAAAGAUACACCAGCUGGAACGAAUACCAAACUCUAUUUAGAUGUUCUUAAUAGAGCGAUUUCAUCCGAUGAACCAAAAGUUUUUUAUAAAUUAAUGUCGCUAGCUGAAAAGCUGCACAAAGAAAUAGGUUGUGAUAACUCAGUAAAGUUGUGGAGAAAACUCAAACCAACCUUAGCCAUGUGUUCUCGACUUGAUUUACAUGACAUAGCUCAUGAAAUUGUUGUUGAACUUUAUAAUUUUCCAUUUUACGUUCCAGCGUUAAUAUAUACUGUGCAUAGACUUCGUAUAUCAGACCCAUCCCUGAAGAUGUUGAUACGUAAGAAGAGAGAUUCACUGAUUUCAGUAACGUCGGGAGUUUAAUAUAACUGAAAUGAGAACAGAAUGAAAUACCGAAAUUUAUCAAUCAGAUUUCUAGAAAAUUUCCUGGUCCUUCAAUGCCUACAACUUCAACGUUAAUUGAA
Long non-coding RNA from Solenopsis invicta (red fire ant), 1407 nucleotides. RefSeq lists it as uncharacterized. NCBI's taxonomy places the organism in Eukaryota, Metazoa, Arthropoda, Insecta, Hymenoptera, Formicidae. The record is from RefSeq and is a predicted model, not a curated record. The transcript is spliced from 4 exons.